Molecule: ribosomal RNA, 244 nt
Filed under: uncultured Actinomycetales bacterium
Lineage: Bacteria; Bacillati; Actinomycetota; Actinomycetes; Actinomycetales
Description: partial 16S ribosomal RNA
Rfam family: Bacterial small subunit ribosomal RNA
Source: RNAcentral
AGUACUCGAGUGGCGAACGGGUGAGUAACACGUGGGUGAUCUGCCCUGCACUUCGGGAUAAGCCUGGGAAACUGGGUCUAAUACCGGAUAGGAGCCAUUUUUAGUGUGAUGGUUGGAAAGUUUUUCGGUGUAGGAUGAGCUCGCGGCCUAUCAGCUUGUUGGUGGGGUAAUGGCCUACCAAGGCGGCGACGGGUAGCCGGCCUGAGAGGGUGGACGGCCACAUUGGGACUGAGAUACGGCCCAG